RNAcentral lists this ribosomal RNA (785 nucleotides) under uncultured Glomus. RNAcentral describes it as "SSU rRNA". It matches the Rfam family "Eukaryotic small subunit ribosomal RNA", at positions 325 to 1111 of the family's 1831-position model. Lineage: Eukaryota; Fungi; Glomeromycota; Glomeromycetes; Glomerales; Glomeraceae. The record is from RNAcentral.
AUGGUAGGAUAGAGGCCUACCAUGGUGGUAACGGGUAACGGGGUGUUAGGGCGCGACACCGGAGAGGGAGCCUGAGAAACGGCUACCACAUCCAAGGAUGGCAGCAGGCGCGCAAAUUACCCAAUCCCGACACGGGGAGGUAGUGACAAUAAAUAACAAUACGGGGUUCUUUAGGAUCUCGUAAUUGGAAUGAGUACAAUUUAAAUCUCUUAACGAGGAACAAUUGGAGGGCAAGUCUGGUGCCAGCAGCCGCGGUAAUUCCAGCUCCAAUAGCGUAUAUUAAAGUUGUUGCAGUUAAAAAGCUCGUAGUUGAAUUUCGGGGUCAGUAGGUCGGUCGUGCCACUGGUAUGAACUGGUUUUACUGAUUCCUCCCUCUUAAAGAACUGUAAUGCCAUUAAUUUGGUGUUGCAGGGAAUCAGGACUGUUACUUUGAAAAAAUUAGAGUGUUUAAAGCAGGCUUUAGCUUGAAUACAUUAGCAUGGAAUAAUGAAAUAGGACGUUUGAUCCUAUUUUGUUGGUUUCUAGGAUUGACGUAAUGAUUAAUAGGGAUAGUUGGGGGCAUUAGUAUUCAAUUGUCAGAGGUGAAAUUCUUGUAUUUAUUGAAGACUAACUACUGCGAAAGCAUUUGCCAAGGAUGUUUUCAUUAAUCAAGAACGAAAGUUAGGGGAUCGAAGACGAUCAGAUACCGUCGUAGUCUUAACCAUAAACUAUGCCGACUAGGGAUCGGAUGAUGUUAAUUUUUUAAUGACUCAUUCGGCGCCUUACGGGAAACCAAAGUGUUUGGG